Molecule: unclassified non-coding RNA, 1841 nt
Filed under: Hevea brasiliensis (rubber tree)
Lineage: Eukaryota; Viridiplantae; Streptophyta; Magnoliopsida; Malpighiales; Euphorbiaceae
Source: RNAcentral
GCAGGGUAAAUUUACGAGGCCAAUAUAACCUCAAUUGCAGUCAUUAUCAUCACUAUCUUUCACCAUGGUAUUCAUGCAUAUUCAAGCAUACUCUAAGAGCACACAUACAUGCUGCCCAUUAUAGCCUCUCAAAGAUCUCUAGUUUAACUGGGCAAACUCCUACUAAACCUUUACAAAACAAUCCAACUCAGAUGAAGAUUAUUCUACAACAGAGGUCAAAGGAUUACCAUUUACACAAGGCAGCUUCAGUUUGUAAUGCUAAAAUGCUAGAUCUAAGUAAACUUUGUUACAAUUGCUAACUGUUAAAACAAUGUCAGAGUCCAUCAACUUCAGCAUCAUCACUGUUGACACCAUCAUCGUCAGAAUCAGAAGAGUCACCCUUGGCAUCAGUUUGCAGAUCUUGGAGCUUAUUAAUAGCAUAUCUUGCAUCAGAAACCAAGGCAUUUUUUGCUGCUCUAACCACAUCUACUUUCUGAAUGUUGACCUGCCCACUAUUCUCUUUUCCUACUUGUGCACACGCUGCCUUUCUCUUAGCUUCUCUGCAAUGUAACUGGUCUAUAUAUUUCUCAUGCAAAGCCUGGUUUUUCACCUGCUUCAAUACCGGGGGACUAACAAGAUCUGUCUCACAUGAACUUCUAAAUCUAGAGAGAGGCUUUUUCUGACCAGAAGAAGAUCUCUCGUGGCACUUCUGCAGAAAUCCCUGUUUUUCUUGUGAAUGCUUUGGGGUAGAAACAGCGUUUUUCAUCUGAGUAUCUUGUCUGGAAAGAUUCACAUUGGGCUCAAGGAUGGAGAAUAGGUCUGCUUCAUAAUUCUGGUCCGCGCGAUUAUGCUUUUGCAGCAAGUGUCUGGCAGUUUUCAGUGCAAUAUGACUCUUCUGUUUAUGACAACUUAACCUUUUAACCUUCAGCUCAGAGGAGCCUAGCAAUUUGCCUGCAGAAAGUGAAAAACAUCCAAGAGGUGAUGAGUUCAUUCUCUUUGCCCUUGAUCGAGGCAAAGGUUGAGGUGGAGUUAUAUGGUCUGAGUGGAUCUUCUCAAAGCAGUCCUGUGCGGUCUUUCCAGGCACCAGUUUAGAAACCUUCUUCCAGAAAUGAGGAGUGGGCUUGACUCCAAAAUAAGCUCUCUGCAAUGCCACUUCUUGCUCCUUUGCCCACCCUUUAACACUUCCAUAAUUACCUUCUUCUACCCUCUUCCUCUUCCCAAUAACCCUAGUCUCUUUGCUUCUUCCAAGAACAAUUUUUCCUUUGGCUGCUUCAAGUGCUAUGACCACUUCAACAUUGGCACAACUCUGAGUCCUCCUUUCGUUUUUGUGCAAAAUCUCAUCACAUGAACCCACAUGCACUUCCCCUUUUUCUUUAUUUAACAAAAGCGCCUUAUUAUCUGUAGAUAUAUUCAAAACGCGAUCGAUUGAUUUAUUUGAAGCAGAAUGUCUGAGUUUCUUCGACUUAUUAUCACUACUCUUCUUCAACUUGUCUUGGUCACUCUUCUCUUGAAUGGCAUUAGUGUUUCCCAGCAAAGAAAGCCUCAAAGAUCGCCUAAUAUUGGAAACGCCUUCCACCCUCUUACUAAACCUUGGAGAUCUUCUCAACCCAAGAACGGGAGCCGCGCAAAUUGAGGACCUUCCAUCGGAUUUUCCCAGUUCCUUUGAAGCUUUUUGCGUGUUAUCUCCGUUAUUGUUUGAGGGUUUUGGGUUGUUAGCAUUCAGAUCAUGGGGCUUUUGAUGGAGAAUUCUCUUAGAUCGACGGAGAGGACUGGUUAGCUCGUGCUGUGUGGCUGUAGGUUUUCUGGAGCUUCUCUGUUUUGGCAUUUCGUAGAGCUAUUGGUGGGUGUUUCUUGUUUCUUGC